RNAcentral lists this long non-coding RNA (243 nucleotides) under Nicotiana benthamiana. RNAcentral's name for it is "long non-coding RNA (NBEN_LNC021190)". The record is from RNAcentral. Lineage: Eukaryota; Viridiplantae; Streptophyta; Magnoliopsida; Solanales; Solanaceae.
UGCGAUGUUGUAGCCUACUUGAUUCUCCUCCUGAUGUUGGUGUCGUUUCAUUUGGUGUGGUUAGAGUAUGUGGAGAGUGCGGAGAUGGUGUACUAGAAGGUUCUUGAACCUCUAGAUAUUCUUCGUUCCUUAUAGUACUCUCGAACGGAUAAGGGAGAAAAUCGUAGUUAUCCUCUUCGGGAACAUUCCAAUCCCAUGUUGCUUCUUCAUCGAACAACACGUCUCGACUUGAGAUUACUUUAC